RNAcentral lists this ribosomal RNA (760 nucleotides) under uncultured Ceratobasidiaceae. Its description in RNAcentral is "eukaryotic LSU rRNA". The stretch from base 209 to 362 matches the Rfam family "5.8S ribosomal RNA". Lineage: Eukaryota; Fungi; Basidiomycota; Agaricomycetes; Cantharellales; Ceratobasidiaceae. The record is from RNAcentral.
GAACCUGCGGAAGGAUCAUUAUCGAAUGAAAUCGGAGUCGGUUGUCGCUGGCCUCUUCACCGAGGCAUGUGCACGCCUUCUCUGUUCAUCCACACACACCUGUGCACUUGUGAGACGGAUUAACCCUCUCGGGGGGACGGUCCGUCUAUCAUACAUAAACUCCAAUAUAUAAAUUUGAAUGUAAUCAGAUGUAACGCAUCUUUAAACUAAGUUUCAACAACGGAUCUCUUGGCUCUCGCAUCGAUGAAGAACGCAGCGAAAUGCGAUAAGUAAUGUGAAUUGCAGAAUUCAGUGAAUCAUCGAAUCUUUGAACGCACCUUGCGCUCCUUGGUAUUCCUCGGAGCAUGCCUGUUUGAGUAUCAUGAAAUUCUCAAAAUAAAUCUUUUGUUAAUUCAAUUGGUUUCAUUUUGGACUUGGAGGUCUGCAGAUUCACGUCUGCUCCUCUUAAAUUCAUUAGCUGGAUCCCUGUGAACUCGGUUCCACUCGGCGUGAUAAGUAUCACUCGCUGAGGACACUGUAAAAAGUGGCCGGGGUUGCUGUAGAACCGCUUCUAAUAGUCUAUUCAAUUGGACAAUUUAUUUAUGAUCUGAUCUCAAAUCAGGUAGGACUACCCGCUGAACUUAAGCAUAUCAAUAAGCGGAGGAAAAGAAACUAACAAGGAUUCCCCUAGUAACGGCGAGUGAAGCGGGAAGAGCUCAAAUUUAAAAUCUGGCGGUCACCCGUCCGAGUUGUAGUCUAGAGAAGCAUCAUCUACGCUGAC